Molecule: long non-coding RNA, 3838 nt
Filed under: Nicotiana benthamiana
Lineage: Eukaryota; Viridiplantae; Streptophyta; Magnoliopsida; Solanales; Solanaceae
Description: long non-coding RNA (NBEN_LNC035241)
Source: RNAcentral
AAUAACAAAUGACCCCGCACUCGUCAUAAAAUUUGUCUCGCCUUAAUACAGCAUUACGAUGUGAAAUUUUGGGGUUUCAAACCCUCAGGAUAUCAUUUACAAUCAUUACUCACCUCGAACCGGCUAUUUCUUUAAUUCGCGACGCUUUUGCCCCUCGAAUUAGCCUCCACGUGUGUCGAAUCUGCCCAAAAUCACAAUGAAUAUGUUGCAUUAUACUAAAGAUACAAUACCCAAUUGAAAGAAAUAAAAAAAUAUCAAAAUUCACGAAUUUGACAAAACUGAGCCCCGGGCCCACGUCUCGAAACUCCAAAAUUUAUAUAUCAAAAUUUUCUUCGUCCUCUCCCGAUUCCGUACGUAUAAAGAACACAAAAAUCGGAGCUCGUUUGAUCCCUCAAAUCGACCCUAAAGGUCUCAAAAUCACAAGCCCUAAACCCACAUUUUUCUACUGAUUUUCUCCAACUAAAUACUUCAAAAACAUGUAAUCUUGUCAGAUAUUCAACGAUAAUUUAAUAUUAUGGAGUAGAAAUGAUCACAAGUGACUUACCUCAAGAUUUUCCAUGAUUUCUUGCUCGAAUAUCGCCCCAAGCCGUGUGCUUCCACCCAAAAACGCUAAAAUGGGUUGAACAGCAUUAAAAGGACUCAUUCCGGUCGCUAAAAGCCUAAUCCCGUCGCUAAUAGUACCCAAAUCUGGUCGCUAAAGGUGCGCACCAGAUGCUGUUGCACCAGCAAUAUUUAUUUUCACUAAAAACACCCUAACUCCACCAUACGAACUCAAAAUUCGAUGAUUCUUAUUCCUAUGAGUCACAAAUAAUAAUACGAACAUAUUCCUUCAAUUGAUACUCAAAUUCGGAGUUUAUUUGCUCAGUGUGAUACUCAUUUCACUUGUUAAACAAUUAACUCACAUUUCGUGUCAAAAUUUCAAUUGCGGCAUGAUGAAAUUAAACCAAACUUUUCAAAUCACUCAUAUAAUUUAUUAUCAAAAUCUCGAAAGUCUCAAAAUCAAAUUUCGUAUAUACAACUAAAAAUGGACCUUUGGAUCAUUACAUGCUUAUGCUCAAAAUGCCAACAUCAUCCAAAAACUCUUUCAAAACUUCUCCGAGCCUCUUGGGAUCCCAACAAAGUAUACUAACAAGUCCCAAAAUAUGACACAAGCUUAGUUGUUCCUUCGAAUCACCAAAAACAACGCAAAAAUACUAAAUUCACCUUGCAUUCAAGUAUGUGAACUUUGAAACUUCUAACUUCCACAUCUGAUGCUGAAACACCUCAAAACUAGUCCGAAUGACCUCAAAUUUUACAGACAAGUCAAAAUGACAUAACGAAGCUACAACGACUCUCAGAAUUCUAUUCCGACACUCGAAUCAAAAUCUCAUCUAUCAAUCGGAAUUCGCCAAAAUACUAACUUUGCCAAUUCAAGCUUAAUUCUACACCGGUCAUCACAAAAAUAUUCCGGACACACUCCUAAGUUUCAAAUCACCUAACGAAGCUAUCUGAACCAUAAAAUUUGCAUUUUGAGCCCUCUAACACAUAAGUCAAUAUCUAGUUGACUUUUCCAACUUAAGCUUCCUUAAAAGAGAUUAAGUGUCUCAAACCUUGCCAAAAUCAUUCCGGAAUGACUACAAAUUUUGCACACAAGUCACAUUCGACAUUACGGACUUGCCCCAACUAUCAGAAUUGCAUUUCGACACCGAUAUCAAAAUCUCCACUUCCGGUCGAAUUUUAUCAAAAACCUUCGAAUUUCUCUAUUUAGCAAAAUGACUUCAAAAUGACCUCCGGACAUCCGAAUUCACUUCCGAUCGCGCUCCCAACUCCAGAAUCACCAUACGAAGUUAUUCCCAGACUCGAAAUCCUAAACGGACAUCUAUAUCACUGAAAUGCCUUCCAACCCUAAUUUAUAAUAUUCUUCUAAAAUACUAAAUUCCACAAUAUACGCUGAAAUGCCCACGGGUUAUCCAAAACCAAAUCUAGACAUACACCCAAGUCUCUAAUCAUCAUAGGAACAUGCUGGAAUAUUUAGAUCCCGAUUCCGAGAUCGUUUACUCGAAAUUCCAAUCUUAGCCAUUUUCUUCAACUUAAGCUCGCCGCAAUGAAAAUAUUCUUUCCAAUUUGACUCUGAAUUUUCUGAAAUUCAGCUCUAACAAUACGCACAAGUCAAUAUACAUGAAAUGAAAUUGUUCAUGACUUCCAACUACUGAACGACGUGCUAGAGAUCAAAACGACCGGGUCGUUACAAUAAAAAUAAUGAAAAGUAAAUCUUUGAAAAUUCUUUAUUAUUUGAGAAGUUAUUUACCUGCUUUCCAGCUUUGUGAGUUUAUUUCUUCUUUAUGAAAUUCAUGAUUUUCUCACAUUUUUACUAUAUUACCAUUAGACCACUAGUAAGUAUUGAAGUCGAUCUCUCAUCUCUAUUUCUUCGAGAUUAGACGGGUUACUCACUGGGUACACGUUGUUUCCGUAAUUAUACUACACUUGUUAUGCAUUUUUGUUGCAUAGGUUCAUGCAUGGCUAGUGGUUUAGUGGCAUAGCGGCAUGGUUGAUAUAGAGACUUAGGUAAGCUGUAUUUACCGAGACGACUCGCAGUCAGCAGAGUCUCAAUCCGAUUACUUUACUGUAUUAUUUCAUUCAUGUCCAAUUGUAUUUCGAACAAUUAUUGUAUUUCAUUCCACUCCCUAGUAAAUGCUCAUGCACUUUUGACACCGGGUUCUAUGAUGAUUAUAGGGUAUUUGUAUUAAUUUCAGACAUUUUUAUUAAAUUUUGAAACAAUAUCUUUUACUCGUAAAAUCGAAGGAAAAAUCAUAGUUUUCAACAUUGUUAAAACAAGGCAUAAAUUAAAUAUUUAUGAUUGGUUUGCCUGAGAGCGAUGUCCGGCGCCAUCACAACCCUUAGUAAAUUUUGGAUCGUGACACUUAGUGACCAAAGAAGAGCCUACGAGUUCAGAAGGAUGCACAUAUAGAAGGUGACAUGGAUGCGUAAAAUCACAAGGAAGAUGACUUGUACCAUUAUGCUCAACAAGAGUAAAAAUAUUCACAAAGGAGGAAGAUGAGGUACCGACGAGAUCUCCAUCAAACAAAACUCUCAAAUACACACACACACAUACUCAAUCGCACAAUUCGUUGACUUCUAGAUAAAAUAUUGAUAAAACCUUAAGGCAUGUAAUCAAUGAUUAAAAAAUAGUAAACAAAGGAAAAGAUGUACAACAACUCUUCGCAACCGGAAGAGUACGAACUUGAAAUGAAGAGAAUUUACCCAGGAUGCUCCGAAAAAUCCAGAAAAUGAUGACUUCAAACUCAGGCGAGGAUGAAGGCUGACAUACAUCGUUGCAAUAGGAAAAAUUUAGACUUCAGAGAUCAACCGCAAAUAGACAACACAAAACCAGCAAUGAACUCGAACAAUCGCAAAUAAGAACAUGAAAAUGUCAAGUUGAAAAAUUCCCCAAUCAAAUGAAAACAGCAUUGAUACUCUUCGAGGGUAACAUCUAAUGAUAGAGAACAAUCGGAUCUAUGAGAUUUUGAACUCUGAUACCAUGUUAACAACGAAAAUGAGAUAAAAUUAAUGGAAUUUGUUCUAGGGUUUUACUAUGGCCGAGAGAGAGAAAGAAGGCUUUCUUUCAUAUGUCAAAAUGAGAAAUGUACAUUUUGUUCUGUAUUAGCCCUCUUGGGUCUCAUUAUGUGUCCCGACCAACUAUACAACAAAUUAAAGAGAGAAGAUUCAAGAACAAUUACAAAGCAAUGUGGGUCUAGCCCAAUACAAAUAAAACUUGGUCUAACACAUAAGUCUAGCUAAUCUAUACUUGGGUCAAUAUUUCCAACAAGAUAUAUCAUAUAUGCCUUAGCAUCAAUGCUUG